Spinacia oleracea (spinach) is the source of this 2842-nucleotide long non-coding RNA. RefSeq lists it as uncharacterized. The record is from RefSeq and is a predicted model, not a curated record. The transcript is spliced from 3 exons. NCBI's taxonomy places the organism in Eukaryota, Viridiplantae, Streptophyta, Magnoliopsida, Caryophyllales, Amaranthaceae.
GGUUGCUCUCUGGCAGGGCUUUCUAUUUCUAACUCAUCAUCAUCCUCCACUGUGAAUUCCCUUUGUGCCGGUAUCGAGGUGUUUUUUGUUAUUGGGCUGAUAACUGAUUGUGCUUGUGACGGAUGGACGGGGUUUAGAAGUGAGGGUUGAAACUUGGAGGUUGUCGCCGGUUGUGGGGUUGUUGCUUUUUCUUGACUUUUCUUUGAUUUUUUACCGUCUUUCUGUGAGAAAUCCAUGCUGACUGUUCUACCGUUUCAAGGGAUAAGGUCCCCUCCUUCUAGCGCCAAUUGUUCCGGGUGUGGAAUGAGAACAGCUGACUGUGGGAUACUGGAUUCCUGUCGAGAUUGCCGGUUGAUAUCUGCACAACAGAAUGGAUUAACUAGCCUCGGGGGUGGUUCGAGGAUCCCCCCUCCGAUGCUUAAGUAAGAUUACUGAGAGAUUAAGAGAUGAUUAGGGAGUAAGAAAGAAGUGUGUUUAAGUGUUUGUGUACCUCAUAGCAAUAAAUGAGGUGCUCCUUAUAUAGACCAAUCCAAGGGUACGAUCUGGUAGGUCCCUUGUGGUUAGAUAGCGACCUGUUGAUAGUGACCCUUGGUUGGUUGUCUUCAUGAUAAUGCCGGUAGGUUGUCUUGCAAAUAGUGCUGGUAGAGGAUAUUUACCUAAGAUGACCAGAUUACCUGCAGGUUAAGUUUACAUACGGGGAGUUCUGCCGGUACCAGGUGGUGCCGGUAGGACACCCCGUACACUAGUUGUUGUUAAUAAAAAGUAUCAUUUGAUUUAUACUGUACAAUAUUGAUUUAUAAAUUAUGGUUGCUUGAAUUUGUACCACAAUGACCCAACUCAUGCACAAAAAGGACAAGUAUUUCGAAUUCUCAAUUCCCAUGGAAGUUGGAACUUGGAACUAUACAUUCCCCAUGGUAGUAAUGCGAGCAAGGAAGUUGCUUAGCUGCUUUACCACUUCCUCCUCAUAAACUUCGUCCUUACAUAUUGCUUGAUUUUUAUUGCUUGAUCGUUUCGACUCCCGAAUUUGUUCUUCCGAUAUAAUAUUGAAGAGGGUGGGUCGGGAAAAUACAGGGGUAGGAGAGAGAGAGCUGUGUUUAGAAGGGGAUCGAGAAGAAUGGGAAUUUGUGGAUUUAUCUCUAUUAUAUAUGCUAAGAGCUGAGGGGUUUUUUCGUAACAUCACUUUUCGUGUCCACCAUGUAAAAUACCAAAAUACCCUCAAACCUUUUACUUAACUCCGCCUCCGCCGCUUCACUCUCACUGUCUCACACAUCACACAUAUCUCUCUUUCUCUCUCCUAGGUCUUCGGCGUCCCUAACCCUUCCUGCUCCCUUCCGUUUUCUCUCUCCUUCCUCUUCAUCUUCUUCGAUCUUCUUCCUCUAAUCCUCUUCCACCAAACCCCAUCCUCCAUUCUAGACCCUAAAUAUUUCGUGUCUCUUUCACCGCACACGCAAACUCUCUCUCCUCCGCCUCUCGCCUUCUCCAUCGCCAUCACCAUCACCAUCAGCGUCUGAUCUUCUGGAGAUCCGGGUGAGAUUUCAACAAAUUGUUCGAAUUUUCAUUUUUUUUCAAUUGAUUCUGGAGAUUUUGCUGAUUUGAUGUGUUUUUUCCAAUUGUUUUUUCAAUUCUCAAUUCUUUCGAUUUUAAUUUUUAAAGAUUUGGGGACGAAAUCGAGUUCCAAAUCACGCUCUUUCUCUCUCUCAGGGAAAAAAAAAUUCGUCGAAGAUUUACCGAGUAUUGUAUGUAUCUCUUCUUUCUCUCUCCAAUUAUUCCAAUUAAUUGAAUUUAUUUCCAUUUGUGUUGAGAAAUAUAAUUGAUGAUUUGUUCUUUUUGUUUUUGUUAUAGAUGCAGCAAUAAAAGUCAGAUAUAAUACUACUAAGUGCAGUUGGACAAGUAUUUAAGCGCAAUUAAUUAUAUUGUUUAAUUUUGUUAUUACUGUUAUUUAUGAUUUAACUUGAGACUUGAGCCUGCAUCAGAAACUGAUUGGAGUUGAGCUUGAUUUAGUGAAAGUAUUUUAAGUUUUUGAAUUUGUUUUACUAAAAUAGGAAACAAGAGAGGGUGUGAAAGAGCCUAGACCAAAAGCUUAUAGAGAUCAGAAUCAUGGUGGCGAUUCGACGGUGCAGGGUUCAAGGACUAAGUGACGGCAAGGUGGAGUCUGGAUUAGAAAGAAGGGUUGGGUUCUCAAAAGGGACAUUCCAUGGGAGACAUACAUGACGACCAAGUUGAUCACUGGGACAACCCUUCAACUUUUAAGACGUUAUAACAAGAAACCUGAGAACUAGAGAGCUUUAUUGCUAGAUGAUGUAUUUUUUCAUCUUUGCUUCUUUCUCGAAGUAUAGGUUGUUGAAGAAUUUUAACUACAAUCUUUUUGUCAAAUGCAUCUAGUGACACAAAAUCUCUUUUAAUUUUGUUGUGAUCUGUCAUGGCCUACCCCGUUCCUAACUAUAUAAUUUCUAUUGAAUGUUUGUAUGAUUAUGUUCAGCAUAGAUUCAUAGAAGAGGGUUCAUUACUCUGUUUCACUAUGAUUACAUGCAUGAUUACUUUGUUUCACUAUUUACUUUGUGAAUAAUUUUUUAUCUAAUAUUUUAUUUAUAUUUAGUGGUAGUAAUACAAUGUUAAGUUUUUAUAUAAUCCCGCACGCAUCGCGUGCAUAUAAGACUAGUUGUUAAUAGGGGAGAGAGAAAUUGAUGGGUCAAAUAAAGUCUUGUUUAAUCAUGCUGGAAACUUCCUUAGAAGACGCCAUUAAAGUGAGGAGAAAAGCUUGAGUGUUGAGAGUAUGGUGGGAGGAGUAAAUAGGCAUUUUAUCUUUAUUUUUUUAAAAUGUUUAUAGGUAAAAGUAACUGAU